RNAcentral lists this long non-coding RNA (441 nucleotides) under Oryza sativa Indica Group (long-grained rice). RNAcentral's name for it is "lncRNA OsMH63_07G000060". RNAcentral also lists the same sequence under 1 other name. The record is from RNAcentral. Lineage: Eukaryota; Viridiplantae; Streptophyta; Magnoliopsida; Poales; Poaceae.
AGGGGUCUGCCUCAAAGUUGUGGUGAACUGUCGGAGGUAGGACCACAUGAAGAAAACCUAGGUCUUCAAACAGUAAGCCUAACCCCCAAAGGUUACCUCAGUAUCGAUCCUAGAAGCUUGGCUUCUCCUUCUGUUGAGUUGCCUGGUUGUUGGUUCUACCGCCAUCUGCUGCUGGCAGCUGUACCUCUCCCUGAGCAGGACCGCCCUGUUCCCCUUGCUGCAAUUGUAGAGUCUCCAUCCAAUUCCAGCACGAGUGACUUGAGCGUGGGAAAGGUGUUGCAGGUGUACUUGCGGACCCAACGAGCCUGGAAGAUGGGGUGGUGGGGGGCGGAGGGCGCAAUGGUGGAGGCAGCGAAGGAGGAGGAGGAAGGCAAGGAUGGGAAGGUGGAGAGUGCAAGAGAGAUGGCAGGGGUGGAAGCCACCAAGGAUCUAUCUACAUGA